CCUACGGGAGGCAGCAGUGAGGAAUAUUGGUCAAUGGCCGUAAGGCUGAACCAGCCAAGUAGCGUGAGGGAAGACUGCCCUAUGGGUUGUAAACCUCUUUUAUGCGGGGAUAAAGGUGUCCACGUGUGGUUCAUUGAGAGUACCCGAAGAAAAAGCAUCGGCUAACUCCGUGCCAGCAGCCGCGGUAAUACGGAGGAUGCGAGCGUUAUCCGGAUUUAUUGGGUUUAAAGGGUGCGCAGGCGGAGGUGCAAGUCAGCGGUCAAAUUGCGGGGCUCAACCCCGUACUGCCGUUGAAACUGCAUCCCUUGAGUGCGCGAGAAGUAUGCGGAAUGCGUGGUGUAGCGGUGAAAUGCAUAGAUAUCACGCAGAACUCCGAUUGCGAAGGCAGCAUACCGGCGCGCAACUGACGCUCAUGCACGAAAGCGUGGGUAUCGAACAGGAUUAGAUACCCGUGUAGUC
Molecule: ribosomal RNA, 459 nt
Filed under: uncultured bacterium
Lineage: Bacteria
Description: partial 16S ribosomal RNA
Rfam family: Bacterial small subunit ribosomal RNA
Source: RNAcentral